UAUUGCCUUUCUACUUCACCAUCAUGGACUUAGAGCAAGCAGUCAGCCACUCUGGACUCACUAAUGGUCUCAGGUGCCAAAUGCAAGUAUCUCCUAAGCAUUCCUGAAGCUUCUGGGGUUGUGCCAUGGCCCACAUCCUCUGUCAGAGAUGGAGGGAAGGACAGAUGGAACCUGAGGUCAUCAAAAAAGCAUGUCACAUGCAGGACUCAACAAAAACACUGCCUUCAGCCCCAGAGAGCAGAGCAUUUUCUGUCAGCAAUUCUGAGCUUCCCUGUCUGACCUGGGGCUCAGGACCUGGAGCCUGUGCUGAGUGACUGAGAGGAGCAGCCCUGCAGCUGUGACCAGCCUGCCCAGCCCUGCUGAUUUGCAUGUGCCCACAGCACAGCCCACUGCCCUGAGGGCUUCUUAAGAGGCUGCUCACACCCUGUGCAGGGGUCAGUUCCAGCCAGGACACAACAUGGCCAUGAGGGGCCCUGCUCAGCUCCUGGGGCUCCUGCUGCUCUGUCUCAUGGAUACAGAUGAAAAGUCCUGGGGAUUUACUAAUCCCAGUGUGGUCAGUGCUGCCUGGAUCCUCAGGGAAAUUCUCUUUUAACAUGAUUAACAUUGUGCAUAUUUGUUUUCAUGUGUUCAAUGUCAGGUUCCAGAUGUGACAUCAAAUUGACCAUCCUCCCUGUCUCCAUCCUCCCUGUCUAAAUCUCAAGGAGAAAGAGUCACAGUCAACUGCAGGGCCAGUCAGGGCAUUAGCAAUUACUUAAAAAUGGUACUAGCAGAAAUAAGGGCAAGCUCCUAAUCUCCUGAUCUAUGGGGCAAACUGCUUGCUAUCUGGGGUCCCCUCGAGGUUCAGUGGCAGGGCAUAAAGGACAGAUUCCACUCUCAGUAUAAGCAGCUUGAUUCUGAAGAUAUUUCCACUUAUUACUGUGAACAGUAUGAUGAGUGUCCUCCCACAGGAUACAGGCCAUGACAAAAACCUCCCAGGGAGUUUGAGGCUGGGCUGCCCCAGCUGCUCUUCUUGCUGCCUCCUCCUGCUGAGGACACCUGUCAGAGGUAGCCAGGCUCUUGGAGACAUUGGUAGAAGAUUCCAGAAAGGUGCCUCUGCACAUGAAACCUCUUUCUGCUUCUUAGGCCAAGCAGGCAGAUAUGACAGUGAAUAGUCAAAGGUCAGAACUCAGAAGGGAUAGGCCCCAGUGGAAGUCUUGCUCAAAGGCAGAGACCACACCAGAAGGCUAACCUGUACAAAUACUAAUGAGGUUCAUGAAGACCUUUUCCAAAUGUAAAAUCCCAUGAGGCUCAUAUGUGGGAACACUCCAGCUAACUCCUUCUUCCAGAGAUGUGGAAAAAUAGAAGGUGGCAGUGAACCCAGAUGGAAAUCACAGGAAGGGUUAAGCCUUCAGCUUGAAGUGCAAACUAAUGACCUUGACCCUUUCUCAAUACCACUUUAACAUAGACUGAUCUAAGCUCAGACAGUAAACCACAUAAGCCCAUAAAUUAGCACACCCAAAGGGUGUAUCAGGCCCUCUCCCUUGUUGAGGGACUUCUCUCAUUUUUCCUUGAAAUAAAUCCUACUCCAUUUUUCCUUCCCUUCCAUUAUUGUCAUGAAUUUUAUUCCAUGAAGGAAAUUUGCAGAGCAGAAAACCAGUCUCUUCUCAAACCUCUGGAUUCACUGGUGUCCCUCCUGAUUUAAUAAAGGGAAAACAUCAGUGGAUCUGAGGGUUUUGGUUUAUAGUAAGAGUUUGGAUUUAAAUAGAAAUGAGAAGUCACUGUGUGUGUUCUAAACAGGAAGUCCCUUAAAUUACAGGGAAUGGUAAUGUAAACUGCAGGCUCUCACAGCUCUGGGAGUGUGGUCAUGAAGAGGCAGAUAAAGAAACAGAACACAGAGAGGGCAGCUGUGACAAUGAAGAACCCUCUGUUCCUCUGUCAGAGCCCAGAGCACCUCUGCAGAGGUAGUCCUUGGAGGAAUCAUAGAAUAUGGAUAAUUUGAGUCCAAGUCGCAAGGUUUGAAAGACCAGGGCCACUUGAUAGGAAUGCAAAUGCUGGACAUGGGAGAUUCCCUGGUGCUGCCCCAAAACCAGAAUUCACCUGCCACUAAAAGCCCAGGCUGGUGGCCCUAUCUUCUUUGGACCUGCAGGGGAGCUCAGAUGUGUGGCGAUGCCCUGAGUGGCCUGCUACAUCUCCCAGGUGACUCCCCAGUCCUCAACCUGGUCCACGUGUCUCCUGCAGGUGCAGUGGGUGGUGUGGAAUCUUCCUCUUUUGGAUCCUCCCUAUCUUAGAUGAGGUCCCUUGUGGAACUUCUCCACAGGAGUAAGAAUCAGGGUCCUGGAGACUGUGUUUCCAGAAGCCAUGCAGAAUUCUGAGUUCAGGACAAAAGAAAUUUGACCAUGGCACCAAUCUGCAGGAGGUGAGGUGUGAGACUCAAGGUGAUCUGAGGCAAGUUGUCAUUUGAUCACCUGGGGAGUGAGCAUGCUGUUUACUAUUAAAAUAAGAUUGACAUUUGGACUGACCUUGAACAGCUGUGGCCCAGCCUCCUCCUCCAGGGUGAACCAUGAUUAAAUGAAGGCCUAGGAGAUGCCAAUCAGUGGCCUGGGAAUUUAAGCCCUGAUAGCUGAGGGUUCCUUACCUCUCAUGAAAUGUGUCAUCUUCUGAGCUGAGAACUCAUGGGUGUGGCUACCCCACACAAAAAGGGCAGGGGAGAGAGACAAUCUUUGCCUACAGCAAAGAAGGAACAGGACAUCUGGUGUGACCUGGUUGAACAUGGUGAGAAAGACCCCUGUGGGAGAUCCUUUUCCCAGGAUCCAUUGAAAAUUAAGAAUCAAUUAUGGAUUUUGAGUGUCAGAGAAAGUUUUCUUUCUCCCUGUCAUGUGCUUUAGAUUUAUGAAAGGGCCCAGGAGAGAUCAUUUCCAACACUUGUUAACAUGGAGCUUCCACAGAAAUCUGAAGUACCUAAAGGGGAUGGGGUGUUUUUUUUGUAGGAAAUUUCCUGUCAGUUCUAGUGGUUGUGGGAUGAUUUCCUUCUCCAAGUUUGCUGCUGGGAGGGAGUCCAACAGCCUGUCCAUCACUCUCCAGAGAUUGCCCUGGACAAAUUGACUACAUCUUCAUGUCUCUGGUGCUGUAUUUGUGCUUCCUACUGAACUCAUAGAAAAUCUAAGUCUUCACCAAAGAUUUUCACUUUCACCAUCAGAUCCUUUGCCCACAACUGCAGGCAGCCUGGACUUCAUCUCCUUGGUUUCCCUCCUGUCACAGAAGACAUUUUGUUCAUUCAAAGUCUGUCCACCCUACCCACCCCAUUGGUUCUUUCCACCCAGCUGCACCCACCAGGGCAUUUGCAUGCUGCUCACUGGGGAGGGGGGAGGCUUCCUGAAAGGCUAACAUAAAGCUCAGCUCUAACCUGGCCUUGACUCACCAGGACUCCUCAGCUCAGCUUCUCAAAAUGAGGCUCCCUGCUCAGCUCCUGGGGCUGCUACUGCUCUGGAUCCCAGGAUCCAGUGGGGAUGUUGCGCUGACUCAGACUCCCCUCUCUGCCUGUUACUCCUGGACAGCCAGCCUCCAUCUCCUGCAGGUCCAGUCAGAGCCUCCUACAUAGUAAUGGAAACACCUAUUUGAGUUGGUAUCUGCAGAAGCCAGGCCAGUCUCCAAAGCUUCUAAUCUAUAAGGUUUCCAACCGGUUCACUGGGGUCCCAGACAGGUUCAGUGGCAGUGGGUCAGGGACAGAUUUCACACUGAGAAUCAGCAGGGUGGAGGCUGAGGAUGCUGGGGUGUAUUACUGCUUUUAAAAUACACAUGUUCCUUCCACAGUGGUGCAGCCCCGAACAAAAACUUCCCUGUCUGGGUGGCCCAGCUGCCACCUGUGCUGCUGCUCUCGGCAGCAGCUCAGCAGAUUGUCUGAGACGAAGAAGCUGCAGCUGAGGGCUCUGGACCUUGAGUGCCAUGGCCACAGCUCAGUCACCAUCUACCAAGGUCCCAGCAGCUGCAGAAGCCCUGGUGUGUCACUGGCACAAAGGAGAUUUCUGGGGAAAAUAUGUGCUCCAAGUUGAAAUGAAGUAGGUCAAAGAGCAACUAGAAACCAUUCAAAACUACAGAGUUCUUCUGUCAAAACAAACACAGGAAACAAUUUUUAAAUCAUUAGUGUAAUUUCAUUAUAACCCUAGUCUUGUUUUUCACAGGAUUUUUAGGAACUAUAUUAAUGAUCAUCGUCUCUAAAGCAUUACGUUAACAUCUGCACAACAAACAGGAGUGAAUUGACAUUAGUCACAUCAGAGGAUGCGGAGAUGUAAGAGAGGGCAGUGAUUAAAGGAAACUGAAGUCAAAUUGUCACCAGCUCAUGUUAAGAUGUUAUAAAUUUAGUGUGUUAUAUUUCAACCCCAAAUUCACCAAAACAAAGGAAACAAUAAGCUGUCAUAUACACAGGAAAAAGAAAAUGGGAAGGAAAUAAAAAUAUUUUACCCCAAAUCAACUAAAAAUAAAAGAGAAGAUGCUCAAAUAGACAUGACUCAGAAAGAAAGGUUUAAAAAAAAUGGCAAAGGGAAAUUUUUUCCCUUCUGUAAUUCUGCUAAUGUUAAUAAAUUAACCUUCCAUUAAAAUAUGUAGAUUGGCAACAUUGAUUGAAACUGUAUAUCUACAUGCUGUGUCCAAUAGUCUCACCCUAGAUCUUAGAACAAGCAGAGCUUGACAGUGAAAACACGGGAAAAUAUCAUAGGCAAAUACUGAGCAAGAGACAAGAAAUGAGUUAUGCUCUUAUCCGACAUCUGUAAGUUUGUCAAAAUUGCUUUCGGGACAAAGGAGGAAAUUCUAUAAUGAAAACAGAGUUAAUUCACCAGAACAGCCACAUACAUGUGCACUAAACAUCAGGGCUCCAAAACACAUUUAGAAACAGGGACAGCUAGGAGGGACAAACAGACUAUAAUACAGUAACAGAAGGGACACCUCUAUUGUACUUUCAAUAGUCCCUGGGACAAACAGACAGAGGAAAAGUCAGAAAACAGACACCUGCAGCAAUAUGACCCACCUAACAGACACGUAGGAGGAUUCCACCCACAAUGGCUUGUUACAUGAUUGCUCAAGUGCACGUGCAAUGUUCUCCAAGAUCCUACAUGUGUUAAGCCACAAAACAAAUCUGAAUGAUGUUAUAAAGCCUUAAAACAUAGAACAUGCAAAUUAUCUCCUCUGAAGAAAAUGGUAUGAAGUUACAAAUUAACAGCAGAAUGUAAACUGGAAAAUUCACAGAUAUGAGGAAAAUAACAUACUCAUAUGUAAGAACUGGGUCAAUGUAUAGGUUUUACUCAGCUCUUCAUCCCUGAGACACAAAGAGUAGACAGGAACAACUUAGUUCGUCACAGGGCAUAGUGAUGUUCUUGGCUUCAGAGAUUCAAUCCAUGGCCAACUGGCUCCAUAUCUCUGGGCUCUGGGUGAGGCAGAACAUCAUGGCAGAAGACACGGCAGAGAGAAGCAGCUUAGGACAUGACAAGGUCUCCAGGGGAAGGGGGGCAGGGGGCAUAGGCAGAACAAUUGUUCCAGGAAAUGCCCCCAUGACCCAUCUCCCCCAGCCUUGCCCCACCUGUCUAUAGUUAACACAGGAUCAGUCCAGAUUUUAAAAUUCUUGAUUUUAUUUCUUGCACUUUAGGAGUCUUGUUAAAGAAGUGGCUAUCUAAUCUAUCGUGAUGGAGAUUUUGGCAUACAUUUUCUUCUAUUAGGCACAGGGUCUCUGGUCUAAUUUCUAGGUCCUUGACCCAUUUUGAGUUGAGUUUUGUGCAUGGUGAGAGUUAGGGGUUAGAUUUCAUUUUGCUGCAUAUGGCUUUUCAGUUUUCCAAACACCAUUUGUUGAAGAGGCUGUCUUGUCCCCAUCUCAGCUCCUGUGCUUUCUGCUGCUCUUCAUCUCAGGUGAGCAAAGGAAGGGGACAUGAUGCUCUGAGCCACCUUCCCAUGGACAUUGCCAGAGGGGACCCACUGAACAUGUGCCUGAGACAAUCUUUCUCCAAAGGAAAUGGAUCCCUCACCCUAAAUGUUUCCUUUCAAUAGUGAAGUAUAUAUGCUUUGCCCGGGUUAAAUUGUUUGUGUCCUUACACUGACCUUGAAAAGUCUUAUGAGAUUGCAGGUGUGAAAAUGGGUACUGCUCUCACCCAGUCCCCAGCUCUCCUGGCUGUCUAUCCUAGGGAAAGAUCCACCAUCACCUGCACAACCAACCCCAAGGAGAACUUCAAGUUUUCUUGAUACCAGCAGAAACCAGGCCAGGCCCCGAACCUCCUGGUGCAUUGCACAUUCACCCUGGCUUCAGGAGUCCCAGCAUAGUUCAGUGGCAGUCAUUUGGGAGCAUAUUUUACCCUCACCAUCAGCAACAUGGAGACAAAUGAUGCUGGCACUUAUUACUGCAUUGAGUGGCCAGGAGACCACAGUGACAAAUCCCUGAACAAAAACCCUCACAGCUGGGGAGAGCAGUGGCACCUCAUGAUGCAUGAAUCCCAGGGUCCUGGGUGUGACUGCCACUCCUCUGAGGCACUGUGUUUGUCCUGUCACCUGCAGAAACACCUCUGGAUGUUACCAAAUUACCCAGCACUGCUUUUCCAGAAGAAAGGUGGUGGAAUUUGGUGACAUCCCUGGAGGAUUCCAGGAGGAAGGUCAGACAUGGAGCAUGAGGUGUGCUUUGACUGAGCAGCUGCCCUUCCAUAGCAUGUCUGCACGGAGCCAUGAGGACACAGCAGAUGUGAUGACUAAAACCUUCCUCAACUAAUGGGAAUCUGAGUCCUGGAGGUAGAUAGUCACAAUUAAUUAUAUUCAUAACUAAGGGUAAAUUCUAAGCUGAAGCUUCCCUUGAGAGAACCUGCAGCCUCACUCCACACAAUGCAGGGUCAGGCACAGAAAGAGGUUGAAAAGGAGAUAGGGGUGGUGCCCCUCAACCAGAAGACCCCCAAGCCCUCUCCUACUCAAGAUGGAAACCACCUCCCAAUAUGCCUUUGGCAGGAAGCCCAGCUUUAACUCAUAGGUCUUGGGGGACAUUUAUCCAAACCAAAGCUCAGAUUAGAGGUUGUGUCCUGUGCCACCCAGAGGAGCAGAGCAAUGAGUGAAGCUUGUCCUGCUUCAGAAUAAUGUCUCCUCUUGUGUAAGGGACAGAAGAUGAGGAACAGAGGAUCUGAAAUCCCAGAGUGUCUAGGUC
Molecule: non-coding RNA, 7141 nt
Organism: Ictidomys tridecemlineatus (thirteen-lined ground squirrel)
Lineage: Eukaryota; Metazoa; Chordata; Mammalia; Rodentia; Sciuridae
Source: RefSeq, a predicted model, not a curated record